Molecule: long non-coding RNA, 2842 nt
Organism: Gadus morhua (Atlantic cod)
Lineage: Eukaryota; Metazoa; Chordata; Actinopteri; Gadiformes; Gadidae
Source: Ensembl
GGGGGGUGGAGGAGGAGGAGGAGGAGGAGGGAUGUACCAGGGAAAGGGCGAGCGAGCAGGCGGGAGAGAGAGGCAGAGUCUCAGUGCACUGCACUCGCAGCGUUCAGUUGCUGAGCAGAGAGGAGGCGAGAGGGAGAGAGACGCAGAGAGCGAUAGACUGCAUUCCAGCUGAACAAAUCCAACCUUUUGGCAGAGCAGCAGCCAGCGGUGUCUACCUGCCUUGCUACCUGUCUGUCUGUCUCUGCCUGUCUGGCUCCGGCGUUGAUACCGGGAGCAUCCUCCCCCCUCCUCCCCCAUUCUCUCCCCUCCAUGGGUGGAGGUGCUCAGCUCUGCUUCUAGCAGACCAGGAGGAGACCAGGAGGAGACCAGGAGGAGACCAGGAGGACUCGGGGACUGGUGGUCUGCCAGGUCCCAGCAGGUGUCCCCGGAGCCCAGCAGAACACUCGGGGUCCCCCUGGAGCCGGUGGCCUGCAGAGACCAGCCGGUCCUCUCUGGAGACGGAACUACGGAGCCGGAGAUCAGGACUAAAGUUCUGUCACCACGGCUUUGGAACAGGCUCUGAUCCGCUUUACUGGUUUUGGAUUUUCUCUUUGUGGCGGAGCGGCGAGCGUCUUGUGGAAUAUAGAGCUGGACGCCGCAGAAGGUCGUAGUGACGUCAUAGUGAUGUCCUAGUGACGCCAUAAGGACAUCAAAGUCACCUUUGACAUCGCAGGAGGCCAGGGUUCACUGAGGCAUCAGGUAAGAGACGCACACACACACACACACACACACACACACACACACACACACACACACACACACACACACACACACACACACACACACACACACACACACACACACACACACACACACAGACACAUUGUGAUCUGGGAUCCUUUGUAAAGUGGUGGUACAUCCAACACAUUUGCUCUCUGAACCAGAUGUGAGGCGAUACAUACAUGAUACAACCGGUGUGAGAAAAGCUAAAGAUAGGAUCAGUAGGUUAGCUCAUGGCCUCUUCAACACCUCCACAGAAUAGAAGACAUCAGGCAUAUUUAGCAACCGAGGAAACGCGUUAGCAACAGAUAAAAACAGCAACAAUUGAAACAGGUUAGCAACAACUGAAACAGGUUAGCAACAACUGAAACACGUUAGCAACAACUGAAACAGGUUAAGAACAACUGAAAAAGGUUAGCCACAACUGAAACCUGUUAGCAACCGAUAAAACUGUUAAGCAACAACUGAAACAGGUUAGCAACAAAUUAAACAAGUUAACAACAACUGCAACAGGUUAGCAACAACUGAAACACUUUAGCAACCGAUACAACUGUUUAGCAACAACUGAAACAGGUCAGCAACAACUGAAACAGUUUAGCAAAAACUGAAACAGGUUAGCAACAACUGAAACAGGUUAACAACAACUGAAACAGGUGAGCAACAGAUGGUAGUUUAAAUAGAUUGUUAUCUAAGGUGCUGGAUGGGUCAAUGAAACGGACAUUAGAAAUUAUCUUCCAAGGCUAACAUAAAAAAGUCAUACAUUUUAGAUGCUCGUAUUUAAAUCAAUGUUAUUGCUUGGAAGGUUGCUUGGUAUAUAGGUAUUCUCCCGAAGUAAAUCUUCAUCGAGAUUUAGCCUAAAUUCUGUGUGACAACAAGAGUUGGUUGCAGAUGUGGCGACGCAAACCAAAUGUCACAAGCCCUUAGAGAUAAACCCUGUAUUCUACAACACACGGGGAGAUAACAUAUAAAGGCAGUCUGAAUGUACUCUCAUAUAGAAGAUACACAUGAAUGAAGGACCAAAUGCUAUAUCAAUGUGUUAUAUAACACACUGAGGAAUUGAUUAAAGGAAGUAUUAAUUCUGAUGCAUUAUUUGAUAUAAAACACAGCUGAUUUAGUGCCAAUAUCAUCUGAAUGUAUCCUAUAAAACCGGUGAAUGUAUUCCAGAUAAAACAGGUGUAGGCAUUCUAUAAAACAGGUGAAUGUAUUCUAUAUUAAACAGGUGAAGGUAUUCUAUAAAACAGGUGAAUGUAUUCUAUAAAACAUGUGAAUGUAUUCUAUAAAACAGGUGAAUGUGUCUAUAAAACAUGUGAAUGUAUUCUAUAAAACAGGUGAAUGUGUCUAUAAAACAGGUGACUGUAUUCUAUAAAACAGGUGAAUGUGUCUAUAAAACAGGUGACUGUAUUAUAUAAAACAGGUGACUGUGUUCUAUAAAACAGGUGAAUACAUUCUAUAAAAUAGGUGAAUGUAUUCUACAAACAGGUGGCUCUAUAACUGUCCCUGUGUCUCAGACUGAGCCCAGCCAGGGCUGGUGUCGGUGUUAGCAGUAAUGGAAAAAUGUGUCCUCCAAUCAGCGGUCGGUUCUCCGUCUGCGUCUCCGUUAGAACGUGGUGAUGAAGUGGCUGUUAGCCCUUCCGGACCCUCCUGACCCCGGGUAAUGGGGGCCGCGGCAUCGGACGAACGCUGAGCGUGAGACACUGAAACUCUCUCCAGUGCCUCCUCUUUGGGGUCGAAAUUAUCUGCUGUGAGGGUUCCUCCUUAAAGCAUCCGCUCGGCUGAGCUGUGACUACCAUCGCUCUGAGAGAUUACAAACGGCCGCAUUAAUAACCCAGCAGGAGAGUGCGAGAUGGAGGGAGUUAGCAGGAGAGCGCUAGCAGGAGAGAGCUAGUUCUCUGCGGCACAGGGAUGGUGAGCAGGGCUGGAGACGGAUCACUAUCAUAGUUCUGAAGAGUGAAACACUGCUCACUACCAUAGUGCUGUAGAGCUCAUAAACAUAGAGUUGUAGAGCUCACCACCAUAGUGCUGUAGACUGCUCACCACCAUAGUGCUGUAGAGCUCACCACCAUAGUGCUGUAGAGCUCACAAA